RNAcentral lists this ribosomal RNA (500 nucleotides) under Neogale vison (American mink). Its description in RNAcentral is "partial large subunit ribosomal RNA". It matches the Rfam family "Bacterial large subunit ribosomal RNA", at positions 1945 to 2619 of the family's 2925-position model. Lineage: Eukaryota; Metazoa; Chordata; Mammalia; Carnivora; Mustelidae. The record is from RNAcentral.
ACCGUGCAAAGGUAGCAUAAUCAUUUGUUCUCUAAAUAGGGACUUGUAUGAAUGGCCACACGAGGGUUUAACUGUCUCUUACUUCCAAUCAGUGAAAUUGACCUUUCCGUGAAGAGGCGGGACUACACAAAUAAGACGAGAAGACCCUAUGGAGCUUUAAUUAACUAACCCAUAAUAAUUUAUAAACUCACCUACCAGGUCUAACACAACAUUAUUACUGGGUUAACAAUUUAGGUUGGGGUGACCUCGGAGAAUAAAACAACCUCCGAGUGAUUAAAUCACAGACAAACCAGUCGAAGCAUUUUAUCAUUUAUUGAUCCAAUAUUUUGAUCAACGGAACAAGUUACCCUAGGGAUAACAGCGCAAUCCUAUUUGAGAGUCCAUAUCAACAAUAGGGUUUACGACCUCGAUGUUGGAUCAGGACAUCCUAAUGGUGCAGCAGCUAUUAAGGGUUCGUUUGUUCAACGAUUAAAGUCCUACGUGAUCUGAGUUCAGACCGG